UCAUUCGAUGAAGACCGUUGCAAAUUGCGA
RNAcentral lists this ribosomal RNA (30 nucleotides) under uncultured Cantharellales. RNAcentral's name for it is "partial 5.8S ribosomal RNA". The record is from RNAcentral. Lineage: Eukaryota; Fungi; Basidiomycota; Agaricomycetes; Cantharellales.